AUAUGUUAACGGUGCGGACUUGCGUACACAAGGCAUAGGUUCAAAGCUUGCAGAGUGAAGUGAAACUCAAUGAAGAGUGAGGAGAGACAAAACGAACCACAAAAAGGGUUUAUACGUCCAACAGCCUGGAAGGAUUCCUCUGUGCAUUGUUCUUCUUCUCCCUGCUCCUGACCAGCCGAGGGUACAGAAACUUGUAAGUGCACACCACCAGACAGGAACAGCUUCUUCCCCUCCAUUAUCAGGCUUCUGAACAGUCCUUCUGCAAGCCAGGGUACCGAUUCACCUCCACCCCAUUGUGGACAUUGGACUUCAUCUGCUUACUGAUGUGCUACAAUGCUGUGUACUAUAUUCUGCACUCUUUAUCUUCUCCUUUGCUAUAUCUAUUACACUUGAGUUUGACUUUAUUUUAUACAUUUAUAGUGUAACUAAUCUAUUUGGAGUGCUUGAAAAAUAAAGCUUUUCAUU
Long non-coding RNA from Amblyraja radiata (thorny skate), 465 nucleotides. RefSeq lists it as uncharacterized. The record is from RefSeq and is a predicted model, not a curated record. Lineage: Eukaryota; Metazoa; Chordata; Chondrichthyes; Rajiformes; Rajidae. The transcript is spliced from 2 exons.